GCCGGGCGUGGUGGCGCACGCCUUUAAUCCCAGCACUCGGGAAGCAGAGGCAAGCAGAUUUCUGAGUUCGAGGCCAGCCUGGUCUACAGAGUGAGUUCCAGGACAGCCAGGGCUACACAGAGAAACCCUGUCUUUUUUUUUUUUUUUUUCCGAGAUAGGGUUUCUCUGUGUAGCCCUGGCUGUCCUGGAACUCACUCUGUAGACCAGGCUGGCCUUAAACUCAGCGAUCUCCCU
Molecule: non-coding RNA, 234 nt
Filed under: Mus musculus (house mouse)
Lineage: Eukaryota; Metazoa; Chordata; Mammalia; Rodentia; Muridae
Source: Rfam by way of RNAcentral